Molecule: long non-coding RNA, 591 nt
Organism: Neopsephotus bourkii (Bourke's parrot)
Lineage: Eukaryota; Metazoa; Chordata; Aves; Psittaciformes; Psittacidae
Exons: 4
Source: RefSeq, a predicted model, not a curated record
UUGGGAUCAAGGUAGCUUGGGAUCAAGAAAUCUUGGUCUAUCUUGAUCAAGAAACCAGAUCUAAUUUACCACAUCAAGUGGAGAGGGAAUAAUAGCAAGAAAUACAAGCUUUCAACAGAGAGCAGCUGCGAGAGCCUGCAACAGUGGAGAGAGGUCAGAUCUAGUUCAGGCUUACAGUAAAUAAAGAGCGGAGCUUCACUUCAAGCAAGGAAGUUGCUGUGGAAGGCUGGCUGUGAGGCUCAGGCUUAAUAUCACAACACCAACUUACAAAGAAGUGGAGUUCUAGUCAGGAUCCUUUCUUGUCUGCCAAACAGGCCAAGAACGUGAAGAAACUUGACUUUCUGGCACCAUUCCACGUGAGAUGCCGGGGAGCUGAGAGCUGGGAAAAGCGGGUGAGCUGGCAGGAAACCAAACACAUUUCCAUCAAAAAUUUCAUUGGAAUAGACAUUUUCAUGCAACGUGUUAGGUUUUGGUGAACCAGCAUUAGCUGAGAGAAAAAUGUUCCACUGGAAAGUUUCCAACUUGUCCUAGUGCUAAGAUCUUGACACUCGGACCUCCUAUCUUUCGUUCAACUGAAAAAUGGAUUUCUAU